GGACAUGUCCCGACACACCUAUUUCCAGAUCAGGAAGGUCAAACAGAGUCAGGGUGCUGCUACUGUGCGUUCCGGGUCACUGGAGAGGCACACUGAUUUAUUUUUUAGAAUACAUUUGGACACAGAGCAAUAUGGAUUUUGUCCUCCAUUUCUUACAUUGGAAUUGCAUCUGUAAAGGAACCUUUCCCUACCAGCAGGUACCCAAAGUGAGGGAGGCAUGGGAGGAUGGGGACAGAGUGUAUGUCCAAUGAACGAAGACGCCGUGGUGGUGACUCAUUAAAGUUCAUACUCAACCACAAUGUCUGCCUUCCAUCUCCUCCACACAUGCCUCCAUUAUGACUGUCACUCUAUAUCAGCUACUGUCUCUGCCUCUCUGCCUCCACCUUUUUGUUAUCCUUGUCCCUCGCUACCUCUCUCUCAGCCUUCCUACCUGACCUCCCCAACAAGCAUAGACUCUGCUCACAUUUUCAACCCACACUGCAAUCUCAGUAAUGCCUUUCUCUCAGCACAUCAGCCCAGCAGGGCUACUUUCAGUAGGUCAGGGAGCCUUUCUCAAAAGGACUUCAAAAGGUGGUGGGGUGGGGGUGAGGCUUGAUCAAUGAUGCAAAAUGAAUGUUACAGAACAAGUGAAGCCCUUCAGAUGUCAGCACUUGCUGCUUCACUACAAGUGUGAAAUGUUUUAAUCAUAGUCAAGAUCACAGCAUGAUGAUACAA
Dicentrarchus labrax (European seabass) is the source of this 714-nucleotide long non-coding RNA. RefSeq lists it as uncharacterized. The record is from RefSeq and is a predicted model, not a curated record. Lineage: Eukaryota; Metazoa; Chordata; Actinopteri; Moronidae. The transcript is spliced from 3 exons.